This 253-nucleotide ribosomal RNA is filed under the name uncultured bacterium. RNAcentral's name for it is "partial 16S ribosomal RNA". It matches the Rfam family "Bacterial small subunit ribosomal RNA", at positions 524 to 776 of the family's 1533-position model. The record is from RNAcentral.
UACGGAGGGUGCUAGCGUUGUUCGGAAUUACUGGGCGUAAAGGGCGCGUAGGCGGCUUUAUAAGUCGGGGGUGAAAGCCUGUGGCUCAACCACAGAAUUGCCUUCGAUACUGUAGAGCUUGAGACCGGAAGAGGUAAGUGGAACUGCGAGUGUAGAGGUGAAAUUCGUAGAUAUUCGCAAGAACACCAGUGGCGAAGGCGGCUUACUGGUCCGGUUCUGACGCUGAGGCGCGAAAGCGUGGGGAGCAAACAGG